This 253-nucleotide ribosomal RNA is filed under the name uncultured bacterium. RNAcentral's name for it is "partial 16S ribosomal RNA". It matches the Rfam family "Bacterial small subunit ribosomal RNA", at positions 524 to 776 of the family's 1533-position model. The record is from RNAcentral.
UACGUAGGGUGCAAGCGUUAAUCGGAAUUACUGGGCGUAAAGCGUGCGCAGGCGGUUGUGCAAGACCGAUGUGAAAUCCCCGGGCUUAACCUGGGAAUGGCAUUGGUGACUGCACGGCUAGAGUGUGUCAGAGGGGGGUAGAAUUCCACGUGUAGCAGUGAAAUGCGUAGAGAUGUGGAGGAAUACCGAUGGCGAAGGCAGCCCCCUGGGAUAACACUGACGCUCAUGCACGAAAGCGUGGGGAGCAAAAAGG